ACUCCACCCGGCCGGCGCGCCGGGAGGAAUUCUCAUCUCGGUCCGCACCUCCUCGCUUGUCAGGCUCCCACGACGGCCUCGGUGUCUCGGCUUAACUGGAAAAUGAUUUUGCCUCGGAAUCAGCUAAGCACUUCCCGUGGUGUCCUUGAAGAGAAGCCUCACUGGCCACCGAAGCCAGGAGAGGAAGUGACAUCCUCCGGGCAGCAGCCACAGGACCUGGGGCACAGACAUGCACACGAGCCGCUUUCUGGGAGAUCCCGGCAACCUGGACGAGGCAGGGGGCGAGCGGGAAGAUGAACCCACCAGCCUCCGUGGUUUCUGGAGAGCAAUACAGUCGGCCCUCGGAAGCCUUUUAAGUUAGAAGCCUGUCCCUCGGGCUUUUAAGAUCCCGAGAAAUCCAUCUUUCCAAAGACACGGGCACCCCAACGAGCGCUGCAGCACCACCUACAAGAGCGACACCAAUAAACAGCAAGACCUCACCAACAGAUUAAGGCUCCAACAAGGUGUGCUCCGUAUGUACGAUGGACUACCGCUCAGGCAUGUCAAAAUACCACCAAAUGAGGAAAUGGUGCCCCUGGGAACUCAUCGGGCCUGCCUGGGGGCUCACGGUAGAAAUGGCUCAUGAUGUUGACCUCACAAACAAAGAACAAAAUCACAGUGACCCUUGAGACUGACCAAAUUGCUCAAAUGGCAUUCUGUUUUCUCGCUGGCUCCUAUCUUCUCGAAGCUGCGAGACCGCCAGGUUCCAGACCUCGCUACGUGACCACAGGACUCAACUACAGGCUAAAAAUUAACCAUCCCUUCAGAGAGUUUUUCAUUGGCAGGGUGUAAGAAAGAUCCCGUCAGAAAGGGGGGACACUGGUUCUCCUUAAAGGCCAGUCACCCUCUCA
Dama dama (fallow deer) is the source of this 890-nucleotide long non-coding RNA. RefSeq lists it as uncharacterized. The record is from RefSeq and is a predicted model, not a curated record. NCBI's taxonomy places the organism in Eukaryota, Metazoa, Chordata, Mammalia, Artiodactyla, Cervidae. The transcript has 3 exons.